GGGGAAUAUUGGACAAUGGGGGCAACCCUGAUCCAGCGACGCCGCGUGUGUGAAGAAGGCCUGCGGGUUGUAAAGCACUUUUAGUGGGGAUGAAAAGCCAAGGGCCAAUACCCUUUGGUCUUGACCUAACCCAAAGAAAAAGCACCGGCUAACUCUGUGCCAGCAGCCGCGGUAAUACAGAGGGUGCAAGCGUUAAUCGGAAUUACUGGGCGUAAAGCGUGCGUAGUCGGUUAUUUAAGUCGGAUGUGAAAUCCCCGGGCUCAACCUGGGAAUUGCAUUCGAUACUGGAUAGCUAGAGUUCGGCAGAGGGAAGCGGAAUUUCGGGUGUAGCGGUGAAAUGCGUAGAUAUCCGAAGGGACAUCAGUGGCGAAAGCGGCUUCCUGGACCAGAACUGACGAUCAGGCACGAAAGCGUGGGGAGCAAAC
This 425-nucleotide ribosomal RNA is filed under the name uncultured bacterium. RNAcentral describes it as "bacterial SSU rRNA". It matches the Rfam family "Bacterial small subunit ribosomal RNA", at positions 356 to 773 of the family's 1533-position model. The record is from RNAcentral.